CCUUUGUUACUAAGGAUGUAUAUUAUGUUUCUCGGAAAGACAAACGUGUUUAAGAUAUCAGUUCAUAGACUAGGCUAGAUCGAAUAAGAAGCAUCAGAAUGUUGUCCAAAGCUUUUUUAUUUGUAACAUUCAGUCUUAUUUCAGUAAGUUUCUGUGGUAAAUACUGCAAGGACUAUGAUACCUAUGGCUUUACACGGACCCCUAAAUAUUGUGAUAACGGAUGUUGUGGUGGAACGUCCAAUGACAGAACGCCAUGUUGUGACAGCAGCAAUGGUGGAGCAGCAGCAGCAGGGGGUGUGAUAACAACUCUAAUUGUGAUAGCUGUUAUAUGUGUUGUCAUCUACCGAGUCAGAUUCAGGACAAGCAGAGUUGAAGUGAUCCAAAAUUCUGCACCAAGUACCAGUGUAACUAUAGCUACAACACAACAAACCGUUUCCCAAACGCCCCAGUACAACCCACCACCUGUUCAGCCGCAGUACUAUCAUCCAGGACAACCAACCUAUCCACCUCCAUACAGUACUGGAACAUCACACAGCUAUUCUAAAACACAAUACAUGUAAGCAUGUACUAUUUGCUCAACGUUACUUAGCGAUUGUACUAAUACUAUGUGUUACUGAAUGUUUAUAUUCCAUAUUCGAGAUAAUCACCAUGCAUACUGUUACUAAAUAAAAUUUUGCAACAAUCUAAAUCUCUUUUUUACGGACUAAAAUUUUGCAAUUAUGUAAAUCUUUUUUCUACAUGUGUGUUCAGAAUAAUCACCAUGUGAUUUUACAACAAUAUGUUUUAUACCCAAGAUAAUCCCCAUAUAGUGUUCUUGAAUAAAAGUAUGCAAUAGUU
This is a long non-coding RNA of Patella vulgata (common limpet), 837 nucleotides long. RefSeq lists it as uncharacterized. Lineage: Eukaryota; Metazoa; Mollusca; Gastropoda; Patellidae. The record is from RefSeq and is a predicted model, not a curated record. The transcript has 4 exons.